GUAGGGAAUUUUCCACAAUGGACGAAAGUCUGAUGGAGCAACGCCGCGUGCAGGAUGACAGCCUUCGGGUCGUAAACUGCUUUUAUGAGUGAAGAUUUAGACGGUAACUCAAGAAUAAGGGACGGCUAACUACGUGCCAGCAGCCGCGGUCAUACGUAGGUCCCAAGCGUUAUCCGGAAUUACUGGGCGUAAAGAGUUGCGUAGGUGGUUUUUCAAGCAGAAUAUGAAAGCGUACGGCUCAACCGUAUACACGUAUCCUGAACUGUUAAACUAGAGGGCGAGAGAGGUUACUAGAAUUUCUUGUGUAGGAGUGAAAUCCGUAGAUAUAAGAAGGAAUACCGAUGGCGUAGGCAGGUAACUGGCUCGCACCUGACACUAAGGCACGAAAGCGUGGGUAGCAAACGGGAUUAGAAACCCUAGUAGUCC
RNAcentral lists this ribosomal RNA (426 nucleotides) under uncultured bacterium. RNAcentral describes it as "bacterial SSU rRNA". It matches the Rfam family "Bacterial small subunit ribosomal RNA", at positions 354 to 796 of the family's 1533-position model. The record is from RNAcentral.